This 253-nucleotide ribosomal RNA is filed under the name uncultured bacterium. Its description in RNAcentral is "partial 16S ribosomal RNA". It matches the Rfam family "Bacterial small subunit ribosomal RNA", at positions 524 to 776 of the family's 1533-position model. The record is from RNAcentral.
UACAGAGGCCUCGAGCGUUAGGCGGAAUCACUGGGCUUAAAGCGUGUGUAGGUGGAUGCCUAAGUACUUUGUGAAAUCCCAUGGCUUAACCAUGGAAUUGCUUGGUAUACUGGGUGUCUUGAGCCACUCAGGGGCUACUGGAACAAACGGUGGAGCGGUGAAAUGCGUAGAUAUCGUUUGGAACGCCAAUGGUGAAAACAAGUAGCUGGGGGUGUGCUGACACUGAGACACGAAAGCCAGGGGAGCAAACGGG